This is a long non-coding RNA of Ctenopharyngodon idella (grass carp), 1035 nucleotides long. RefSeq lists it as uncharacterized. The transcript has 3 exons. The record is from RefSeq and is a predicted model, not a curated record. Lineage: Eukaryota; Metazoa; Chordata; Actinopteri; Cypriniformes; Xenocyprididae.
AUCUGACCAACUGUGUGUUGAAAUCCUGCUAGGAGUUGAUCUUUAGUGACACCGUGCCAGUGCAUAAAGGAGAAGUGCUGCUUCACAUUUCUCUUGUAAAUAUCCACUCGAAAUCAAGUGGAUUUCACUACUAAUAUGUCAUUUUACUUAAUGCUUAAAUGUAAUUUACAGUACACAUAUUGUAAUUUAGCUCCUUUUAACAAAGUAAUCUGAUCAACAGCAAAAAAAAAAAAAAAAAAAAAAAAAAAAAAAGAAGAAGAAGAAGAAAGCUAAAAGAACAUUUCAGAGACCAGCUCAGUGAUCCGGAUUCUCCUGAUGGGCAGAAAUGGUUCUGGGAAAAGCUCAUCAGGAGGAAACACUAUGCUUGUUGAAACAAGGUUUAAAGAGCACGAGUCUGAAGUGUGUGAUGGUAAAACACAGAUUGGAGAGAAACAGGUGCAUGUGAUUAUUUCUCCAGAUCUACUGGAUCCAGAUCUGAAUAAAGAGAAGCUGGAGAUGAUGAAAGAGCAGCUGGUCUCUGGAUGCUCAGCAGGUCUCAGUUCAGUUCUGCUCACCGUUCCUCUAGAAGAACCUGUGGGAAAUGAGGAAGAGAUCCUGGAUUUCAUUAAGUGUUUAUUUGGUCCUGAAGUUCAGAAAUACAUCAUGAUUCCGUUCACACAUGGAGAUGAGCUGGAGGAUCUGGAACAGGCAUUGAUGAACAUCUAAAACUGAAAGAUCGUGCUGAUCUCUAGCAACUGUUGACUGAAUUUUGCGGAAGAUUUUACUGUUUUAAUAUCAAGAGUAAAUCAGACAAUCAGGUACAAGAAGUACUGCAGAAGAUCAAAGGAAUGAUGAUGGAAAAUGGUGGGAGAUUUAUCAUGGAACAAAUGAAGAGGAGCAACAGUCAAUAUUGUCAGUUUGAUCUGACAGCUGAAGAUCCAGAUUCAUCAAGUUCCUGAGAGGAAAGAUCAGAUCAGGCUGAUGUAGCUGGGAAAACAGGAUCUGGGAAAGGGCCACUGGAAACACCAUCAUCGGAAGAAAUGUGUUUGAAUCUUC